This 465-nucleotide ribosomal RNA is filed under the name Vreelandella stevensii. RNAcentral describes it as "partial 16S ribosomal RNA". It matches the Rfam family "Bacterial small subunit ribosomal RNA", at positions 338 to 795 of the family's 1533-position model. The record is from RNAcentral. Lineage: Bacteria; Pseudomonadati; Pseudomonadota; Gammaproteobacteria; Oceanospirillales; Halomonadaceae.
CCUACGGGGGGCAGCAGUGGGGAAUAUUGGACAAUGGGGGCAACCCUGAUCCAGCCAUGCCGCGUGUGUGAAGAAGGCCCUCGGGUUGUAAAGCACUUUCAGUGAGGAAGAACGCCUGGUGGUUAAUACCCAUCAGGAAAGACAUCACUCACAGAAGAAGCACCGGCUAACUCCGUGCCAGCAGCCGCGGUAAUACGGAGGGUGCGAGCGUUAAUCGGAAUUACUGGGCGUAAAGCGCGCGUAGGUGGCUUGAUAAGCCGGUUGUGAAAGCCCCGGGCUCAACCUGGGAACGGCAUCCGGAACUGUCAAGCUAGAGUGCAGGAGAGGAAGGUAGAAUUCCCGGUGUAGCGGUGAAAUGCGUAGAGAUCGGGAGGAAUACCGGUGGCGAAGGCGGCCUACUGGACUGACACUGACACUGAGGUGCGAAAGCGUGGGUAGCAAACAGGAUUAGAUACCCGAGUAGUC